CCAUCAUCCGCAAUGCACCUGCUCCGUUUCGUCCUCGCCGUCAUCGGCAUCGGCCUCGUCUUCUUCCUCAAGGUAGGCUACCGGCUUCGCCUCGUCAUCGAGUUCGUGGAGCGCCUUGGCUUCCUCUACGUCGAACAGCCAGCUGACCGCCGGUUGGCAAUGGGCUAAAUCACCUUCCCUUCCGCCGGCGACGAGGUUUUUCACCGCGGCGCCUGCGCUAGAUGCAAAUGCCGGUCUAAUUUGCAAAAUCCAGGGGGGAUUAUGAAAAAUAUUUGGAUCGGGAAUCGCGAACUAAAAAUUUAGACUUAACCCUCUAAAUUGGAUCGCGA
Molecule: long non-coding RNA, 329 nt
Filed under: Setaria italica (foxtail millet)
Lineage: Eukaryota; Viridiplantae; Streptophyta; Magnoliopsida; Poales; Poaceae
Description: long non-coding RNA (SITA_LNC000720)
Source: RNAcentral